AUUUGAGAACCCAUAGGUUGGACUAAAGCGGCAGUGAGACUGAGGAGAAGCUAAGCAUGCUUGACUGGAGAUAUACGGAAUGGGAAUGACAGCUUAAUGCUUGUAGAUUAGUCCUUGCAUGAGGAAGGUCGAGGGCAGCAUGGAGGAUCUCGUCGGUGAUCUUCUCCAGCAAGGUGUGGCGCUUGGAAUUGGGAGUAGUUGGAGAGUUGAGAGAGAGAAAGCAAUGAGGGAGAGAGAACGAACUGCUGGUAGUAGUGACUUCAGGGGGAGUGGACGAGGUUGGGUCGGACAUGUGUGGAGAUUUGAUGAAAUUACGAGAAGUGAGAAGUUACGAAAUUCCAUAUAACUCAUGGCUUUAUGGCCUCAGAUUAAUCUUGUGAAAAUUCCGUAAAAAUCCACGGAGAUUCCUAAUUAACCUGUAAAAAAAUUGUAAAAAUUGUUGAAGUUCUACACAUAAUCAUCAACUAGAUCUACUCAAAACUCUAGUUAGAUUUGCAAGGAUUGAAUAUACACAAAUAGUGUGGAAAAAACGUUAGGGAAUUCUUACCACCAAACCUGUAAAACUUUUGUAAAAUUUAUGUGGAAGUUAUGCACACAAACAUUAAUAAGAACUACUAAAAAGAUUAUGCUUGGACUUUUAAAGAUCGGACAAACACGAACAAUUGCAAGAACUUUGGAUUUGAAUUCAAAGUUUAACUUGCCUCUGCAUAUUCGUCAUUGGUUUAGUUGGAAUAAAUAUAUCAUCAAG
Molecule: long non-coding RNA, 748 nt
Filed under: Setaria viridis
Lineage: Eukaryota; Viridiplantae; Streptophyta; Magnoliopsida; Poales; Poaceae
Description: long non-coding RNA (SVIR_LNC010414)
Source: RNAcentral